GCGGUAAUACGGAGGGUGCAAGCGUUAAUCGGAAUUACUGGGCGUAAAGCGCACGCAGGCGGUUUGUUAAGUCAGAUGUGAAAUCCCCGGGCUCAACCUGGGAACUGCAUCUGAUACUGGCAAGCUUGAGUCUCGUAGAGGGGGGUAGAAUUCCAGGUGUAGCGGUGAAAUGCGUAGAGAUCUGGAGGAAUACCGGUGGCGAAGGCGGCCCCCUGGACGAAGACUGACGCUCAGGUGCGAAAGCGUGGGGAGCAAACAGGAUUAGAUACCCUGGUAGUCCACGCCGUAAACGAUGUCGACUUGGAGGUUGUGCCCUUGAGGCGUGGCUUCCGGAGCUAACGCGUUAAGUCGACCGCCUGGGGAGUACGGCCGCAAGGUUAAAACUCAAAUGAAUUGACGGGGGCCCGCACAAGCGGUGGAGCAUGUGGUUUAAUUCGAUGCAACGCGAAGAACC
This 454-nucleotide ribosomal RNA is filed under the name Escherichia coli. Its description in RNAcentral is "bacterial SSU rRNA". It matches the Rfam family "Bacterial small subunit ribosomal RNA", at positions 517 to 970 of the family's 1533-position model. Lineage: Bacteria; Pseudomonadati; Pseudomonadota; Gammaproteobacteria; Enterobacterales; Enterobacteriaceae. The record is from RNAcentral.